Molecule: ribosomal RNA, 865 nt
Filed under: uncultured candidate division GN03 bacterium
Lineage: Bacteria
Description: bacterial SSU rRNA
Rfam family: Bacterial small subunit ribosomal RNA
Source: RNAcentral
CCGCCGCGGUAAUCGGAGGGAGCAAACGUUGUUCGGAUUUCUGGGUGUAAAGGGUGCGUAGGCGGCUACGUGUGUCAGAGGUGAAAGCUCACGGCUCAACCGUGGAACUGCCUUUGAAACUGCGUAGCUUGAGUCCGAGAGAGGAUGGUGGAAUUCCUGGUGUAACGGUGAAAUGUGCAGAUAUCAGGAAGAACACCGGUGGCGAAGGCGGCCAUCUGGCUCGGUACUGACGCUGAGGCACGAAAGCUAGGGUAUCGAACGGGAUUAGAUACCCCGGUAGUCCUAGCCGUAAACGAUGUCCACUAGGUGUCGGAGGUCCUACCCCUUCGGUGCCGGAGCUAACGCAUUAAGUGGACCACCUGGGGAGUACGCUCGCAAGGGUGAAACUCAAAGGAAUUGACGGGGGCCCGCACAAGCGGUGGAGCAUGUGGUUUAAUUCGAUGCAACGCGAAGAACCUUACCUGGGCUUGACAUGCAGGGGACAGGUGUAGAGAUACACCCUUCUUCGGACUCCUGUACAGGUGCUGCAUGGCUGUCGUCAGCUCGUGUCGUGAAAUGUUGGGUUAAUAAGUCCCGCAACGAGCGCAACCCUUGUCCUUAGUUGCCAGCACGUCAUGGUGGGAACUCUAGGGAGACUGCCGGUGACAAACCGGAGGAAGGUGGGGACGACGUCAAGUCAUCAUGGCCCUUACGUCCAGGGCUACACACGUGCUACAAUGGCACAUACAGAGGGCAGCGAACCCGCGAGGGGAAGCCAAUCCCAAAAAGUGUGCCUCAGUUCGGAUCGCAGUCUGCAACUCGACUGCGUGAAGUCGGAAUCGCUAGUAAUCGCGGAUCAGCAUGCCGCGGGAAUCCGUUCCCGGGC